AACGAACGCUGGCGGCAUGCCUAACACAUGCAAGUCGAACGAGACCUUCGGGUCUAGUGGCGCACGGGUGCGUAACGCGUGGGAACCUGCCUUUAGGUUCGGAAUAACUCAGAGAAAUUUGAGCUAAUACCGGAUGAUGCCUUCGGACCAAAGAUUUAUCGCCUUUAGAUGGGCCCGCGUUGGAUUAGCUAGUUGGUGGGGUAAAGGCCUACCAAGGCGACGAUCCAUAGCUGGUCUGAGAGGAUGAUCAGCCACACUGGGACUGAGACACGGCCCAGACUCCUACGGGAGGCAGCAGUGGGGAAUAUUGGACAAUGGGCGAAAGCCUGAUCCAGCAAUGCCGCGUGAGUGAUGAAGGCCUUAGGGUUGUAAAGCUCUUUUACCCGAGAUGAUAAUGACAGUAGCGGGAGAAUAAGCUCCGGCUAACUCCGUG
Molecule: ribosomal RNA, 433 nt
Filed under: uncultured bacterium
Lineage: Bacteria
Description: partial 16S ribosomal RNA
Rfam family: Bacterial small subunit ribosomal RNA
Source: RNAcentral